GACGUAGGUGGCGAACGUUAUCCGGAAUUAUUGGGCGUAAAGGAUGCGUAGAUGGUGUAGUAAGUUAUCGGUGGCAAAUCGAGGCUCAACCUCGUGGAAGUCGGUAAUACUGCUAUGCUAGAGGAUAGGAGAGGUUAACGGAACUCCCUGUGGAGCGGUGAAAUGCGUAGAUAUAGGGAAGAACACCAAUAAGGCGAAGGCAGUUAACUAUUCUAUUCCUGACAUUGAGGCAUGAAAGCGUGGGGAGCAAAAUGGG
Molecule: ribosomal RNA, 256 nt
Filed under: uncultured bacterium
Lineage: Bacteria
Description: partial 16S ribosomal RNA
Rfam family: Bacterial small subunit ribosomal RNA
Source: RNAcentral